Molecule: ribosomal RNA, 586 nt
Filed under: uncultured bacterium
Lineage: Bacteria
Description: bacterial SSU rRNA
Rfam family: Bacterial small subunit ribosomal RNA
Source: RNAcentral
CUCCUACGGGAGGCAGCAGUGGGGGAUAUUGCGCAAUGGGCGAAAGCCUGACGCAGCGACGUCGCGUGGGUGAUGAAGGCCCUCGGGUCGUAAAGCCCUGUCGAGGGGGAAGAAACGGUCGAGACCCAAUACGUCUCGACCUUGACGGUACCCCUAAAGGAAGCACCGGCUAACUCCGUGCCAGCAGCCGCGGUAAUACGGAGGGUGCGAGCGUUGUUCGGAAUCACUGGGCGUAAAGCGCGUGCAGGCGGCUCGGUAAGUCUGGUGUGAAAGCCCGGGGCUCAACCCCGGAAGUGCACUGGAUACUGCCGAGCUCGAGUCCCGGAGAGGAGGGUGGAAUUCCUGGUGUAGCGGUGAAAUGCGUAGAUAUCAGGAGGAACACCGGCGGCGAAGGCGGCCCUCUGGACGGUGACUGACGCUGAGACGCGAAAGCGUGGGGAGCGAACAGGAUUAGAUACCCUGGUAGUCCACGCUGUAAACGAUGAUGACUCGAUGUUGGCGAUAUACCGUCAGCGUCCUAGCGAAAGCGUUAAGUCAUCCACCUGGGGAGUACGCUGGCAACAGUGAAACUCAAAGGAAUUGACGG